Long non-coding RNA from Neopelma chrysocephalum (saffron-crested tyrant-manakin), 2037 nucleotides. RefSeq lists it as uncharacterized. The transcript has 7 exons. The record is from RefSeq and is a predicted model, not a curated record. NCBI's taxonomy places the organism in Eukaryota, Metazoa, Chordata, Aves, Passeriformes, Pipridae.
UACUAUGUGUGGCAAGUAUUUUCCUGUAAGACAUAAGAAAAAUCUUGAAACCAAGCAUAAAUACAAAGAUGUAAUGUAUAUUAUUAUUAAAUGUGAAUCAAGACGGUCUUACACCAGUGCUUCACCAAUAAGAAGAAUUGCAUUAAACUGGUAGCACAGUAAAAGAAUGGUUGUAUAUGGGACAGUGAUGGGGAAAGAGGAAGGAGCAUCCACGAGUUCAAGGAAUAGGUAGGUAUGUCUCUUUGUAGAGGAAAAAUACUGAGGGAAAAAACCCAUAGGGACGAUAUAUUGGUCUGGAUAAGACUAUGUGGUAUUAUGUCUUUAUUAACUAGUCCUAAGUGGUAGAGGUUCUGAAAACAUGUAAGUAAAAGCAUUCUAGGAGUACCGUGAAAAAUAAACAGGAUAAUUAUUAUAAAAAUGGUACUCUCAAAGCUCUCAAAGCAUUUUUUAUUGAAUCCAAAAGUUAUACUGAUGUAACAUUAAGAAUGAGAUUUUAACUGAAAUGUUUAAACCAAAGGUUUCUUCAAGAAACCCUCACACUGUUCACAUGAGUAUAUGCAUAACAAUAGAUUCUUUCAUUAUGUACUGAAUUUUUGCAUCAGAUACUGAAUAAUAAUUAUUUUCCACUGUAGCUUCACCCCAGCCUACCUGGAGUUUCACAACACUGCAGCAGAAAGCUGCUUUCUGAAUAGGCAGCUCCUCAAAGAGGCAGUGAUCUACCAGAUGCUAAGAGGAUACACAGAAACAUGAGGGAGGGCUUAAGCCUGUAUACAGGAGAGAAACCAGAUGUGUGAGAAACAUUAUACAGACACUGUCAAAAAUGAGGAAAGAAAUAGCUUGAAGAAGCAGAUGGGUGGACAAGGUAUUUUCCCUCAAAUAUUUCAACAAACAAUGGGAGGAAGAAAAUGCAUAGCAGCCUAGAACAGCUUCAUUGAUAAAAUGAACUUGAUCUGUGUCUGAUAAAUCUUUAUAUUCAGGCAAGGUCUCCCGCCAUGUUGUUCUUUAUCAAGAGGUAUGCUCAGUUUUGGGACUGCUGCACCAAAGACUAGAUUUUCCAAGAUCGGAGCAUUCUACCUUCACUCUGAGAAGCAGAGCUGAGAUCUCUCAGCAGCAGUCAGGAAGUGAAUGCGAACCUGAAUAACAUUUUGUUAAAACAGAGCAUCAGGAAUUGGUUUUACUGAAGAACAGAGGAAUCAUACAUUGGGAAAUAGUUGCUAUAAAAAGAAGUACUAGAUCUUGGUAGAAGAAAGGAGCAAGAGCACUACAGUUUCCCCUCUGGGUACCAGCAAACUGUCUUAGGAUUCAUUCUGAAUAUUUCAGGUUUCUGAUUCAGAGCCUGAAACUUGACUCAAGAUAGGGUGAAACUCAUCAGAAAUUGUGUUCCCUGCGGGUAGUGAAGAAAAGGCUGCAAGAAAAAGUAGAUAAUGUUUGAUCCUGAAAAGAACUCCUUGAUCUGGAAGAUGCAGCUUGUACAGAACCUGCCUCAUUUGCACUUCUGGAGAAGAAUGAGCUAUUCACUCCCGCUACGCUGCAAGGCUUAUUCGCUUUGUGGUCAAUUCUCAAAUGUCUGUGAGAAGAUUAUCUGGGUUAUGUAUUAUAUGUGUCAUGCUUUAAAAAAAAAAGGAAAUCCUUUUCUAACCUCAUUCCAUGCUUAUAGUCUUGUUCUUAAAAGGUAAAUAUACUGAACAGAAUGUGCUAGCAUUUACUGUAUAUGUGUGGGGUUUAUGUAUGUUUAACUUUAUUUGGGUACCCUGUCCCCUUCUCUCACUGUUCUUGGAGAAUUGGCAGCAUUUAUGCUUGAAAUCUGUUGCUGUAGAGUUAUACAGGGUUUGGGUUUGCAUCUGAAGUACUGUGAACACCUACAAUAUUAUAAAAACAGUCAUUGUGAUUUAGGAUGGCUUAUUCUUGGCCACUCUUUGUCCUUUCCACUGUGUAAUUCAUUCCUGCUAUUCUUUUUUUUUUUCCUAUUCUUUGUACCUGUGAGCAAUUGAUUUCUUUUGAUAGGAGGUUUGAUUGAUGCUGUCUUGGCUAGAUAUU